This is a non-coding RNA of Hordeum vulgare subsp. vulgare (domesticated barley), 121 nucleotides long. NCBI's taxonomy places the organism in Eukaryota, Viridiplantae, Streptophyta, Magnoliopsida, Poales, Poaceae. The record is from Rfam.
AAUAUACUCCCUCUGUCCCAAAAUUCUUGUCUUAGAUUUGUCUACAUAUGAAUGUAUCUAGUCUAUACAUUCAUAUGUAGACAAAUGUAAGACAAUAAUUUUAGGACGGAGGGAGUUCUAU